RNAcentral lists this ribosomal RNA (253 nucleotides) under uncultured bacterium. Its description in RNAcentral is "partial 16S ribosomal RNA". It matches the Rfam family "Bacterial small subunit ribosomal RNA", at positions 524 to 776 of the family's 1533-position model. The record is from RNAcentral.
UACGUAGGGGGCUAGCGUUGUUCGGAAUCAUUGGGCGUAAAGCGCGCGUAGGCGGCCAGAUAAGUCCGGUGUGAAAGCCACAGGCUCAACCUGUGAAUGCCGCUGGAAACUGUCUGGCUAGAGUCCGGGAGGGGCAAGUGGAAUUCCUGGUGUAGCGGUGAAAUGCGCAGAUAUCAGGAGGAACACCAAUGGCGAAGGCAGCUCGCUGGACCGGAACUGACGCUGAGGCGCGAAAGCGUGGGGAGCGAACGGG